GAUGAAGAACGUAGCGAAAUGCGAUAAGUAAUGUGAAUUGCAGAAUUCAGUGAAUCAUCGAAUCUUUGAACGCAACUUGCGCUCUCUGGUAUUCCGGAGAGCAUGCCUGUUUGAGUAUCAUGAAAUCUCAACCAUUAGGGUUUCUUAAUGGCUUGGAAUUGGGUGUUGCCAGUCGCCUGGCUCGCCUUAAAAGAGUUAGCGUGUUUAACUUGUCUAUCUGGCGUAAUAAGUUUCGCUGGUGUCGGCUUGAGAAGUACGCUUCUAAUCGUCUUCGGACAAUUCUUGAACUCUGGUCUCAAAUCAGGUAGGGCUACCCGCUGAACUUAAGCAUACAAUAAGCGGAGGA
Molecule: unclassified non-coding RNA, 346 nt
Filed under: soil metagenome
Description: partial contains 5.8S ribosomal RNA, internal transcribed spacer 2, and large subunit ribosomal RNA
Rfam family: 5.8S ribosomal RNA (bases 1-120)
Source: RNAcentral